Molecule: long non-coding RNA, 12292 nt
Filed under: Vigna radiata
Lineage: Eukaryota; Viridiplantae; Streptophyta; Magnoliopsida; Fabales; Fabaceae
Description: long non-coding RNA (VRAD_LNC007350)
Source: RNAcentral
UAUCCUUCUGUCAUCUCACUUUAAUUCUUGCCUUGACUUUCAAAUAGCUCUUUCCAUCAAAUUGCAAACAUAAUUUUGAUUGUAUAAAUGGCAAGACCUUUGCAGACCUAAGAGACAUUCAUUAUAACGUAUUUACUUUUAUAAGCAUUGUUGUAAUGUACAAGAAGAUAAUGAAUGUACUGGUAAUUAAUUACAGAUAUUGGAGAAAGUAGCACAGUAGAAAUCAAAAUCAAAACCUUUUUUUGUCGCUUCUGUUUAAUUAUACCAUUGGAGGUAACCCUAACGACUGCAGUGUAGAUUUUAAUCAUCAGAUCAUUGGGCCCUACCAAUUAACAUUGAUUUGGGAAAGUUGCCUGGGGUGUGCAAGAAACUUUAGGGCCAUCUAAUCAAAUCAUAGCAGAAAAAAGAUAAUGUAAUUAAUACAAUGCUGUUAUAAUUUAUCAUUUCAUUCCAGUUAAACUCUAGGUAGCAGACAAGUUCCUCUCAUAAUGGACCAAGAUGGGUAUGUUUUCUGCUUUCUGUCAAAAGCUAUACUUCAAUAAUGAAUACAGCUUCAACCAAAAACCUCCAAAAGAAUAACCAAACAAUUCUAUCUUGGUAUCUAGUAACUUCAGAGAACACAAACAACCUAGUCAAAUUCCCAUGUUGUGGAGAAGGGCCAAAGGAAUACAACAACAUGAAAAGUAUCUGUGUAGUACCCCCUAUUCUUGUAAAGUUUGCAGAACAGCUUGUGUUACUCGAUUUAAUGCCCUAAUCACUAGCGAGGGUCCUUUUACUUCUGGCCCACUUCUACAUUAAUUAUCACACAUGCCUGGUUGGAAUUCAUCAACUUCAGAUCUUUUCAGUCCACCACAAUUUUACAUGAAACUUGGUACAAAACUAAUUUCUGCGUCAAAGGAAACAGUUUACUUGUGGUAAGAAAUACAAAGUCAGAUAAAACAAGUGGGUUGGGUUGGGUUGGAAUAUUAUAUAUAAACAGUUCAUCAACCAUAAGCCCACAGAUUUAAGCGUGGAAAAAAAAGGAGAGGAAAGAAAGAGGGAAAGCUUUGAAACAAAAUGAGUUGAAAAUAAAAAGGUUACAAUUUGAACCACAAAUGUUAUCUUGUUCCUUUUUCCUUAUAUAGUACAGACAGAAAAAAAGGAAAGGCAUCCAGAUAGAAACGAAAUAAACGCAUUAUGAGAAAAUAUAAGCAAGACUUUUAUAGAGGAUAAUUGUGGUCUGGCAAUGAAGCACUCCUAGAUGUUUGUACUAGUACACAAAUUGAGCAGUGCUUGGUUGUCAUAGUUAUCUCCUGGUUGAAAAGAACCCCAGACCAACCCUUUGCUUUGCCAUAUAUCUAUCUAUCUAUCGUGUGGUCCUUGCAAUUAUGCCAUCUAAAGUGGUGUUGAUCGAGACUGCUAUAGCUAUAGAUAGAUAGAUAGAUAGAUAGAUAGAUAGAGAUAGUGAGAGAGAGGGUUGGAGAUAUAAGUGGUGGAGAGAACGGCAUGUAUAAAUGGAAAGACAGAAAGAGAAAGGGAGAAAAAACAGCAAAUUUUUGGUGUACUAUAGAGUGCUUUCAAGUGUGGAUGGACUAUUACCAUUUUGACAACAAGUUGGGAGAGAUCAUGGGGUGUUUUUAGUUCUAUGGCAAGUUCCAAUUGGUUAUUAGGGCUUGGAGAGUCUCAUUCUCUACGCAUACAUACAUGACAGUGGCAAGUACCAUUCUAUCUUGCUUCCUUUCUUUCUUCACUCAGAGCCAGACAUAUAUAGAGAGAGAGAAACAAUCUACUUCACUAUAUAUAUAUAUCAAAGUAAGCAUAACACAGAAAGAUAAGCACGCAGCACGCAGCACGCAUGGGAAGAGAAACCAGCCAACAUCAACAACAUUCUCUAACACACUCUGAUAUAGAUAGAUAGAUAGAUAGAUAGAUACUCACAAACAUUGACAUCCACCACAAACACAGCACAAAGAAGAGAGAGAGUGAUGAUAGAGUUGGAUAGUGAGAUUGAGAAUGAUGGCGCAUCUCUUUUUGGAGAAAGUGACCUACUGAGCAACCCCAGUCAAAGGGAGCAUUGGCUACCAUUGCAAGCCGUUCCAUGGAAAUAAUUGUACUUUGUUUCCCCCAUUAUCUACUUUUAGGGUUAGACACAGACGGACACCUGGAGGUUUCCAACAGUGAAUCAAAAUUAUAGUUAAAAAAGACAAAGGGAAUAAUAAGAAGAAAUGAAAUUAUUUGAGUUAUGUGAAUCUUCCCAUAAAAAGUCACGGCAUGUGACAUCCCACUCCUACGCACCAUGCUCUGUGGGACAACGUUAAACGCAAAUAGUAUAGUAUAGUUUAGUACCUUUAAUUUCAACAAUCGAAUUACUUCUUCAACAUAUCUAUCCAAUACCAGUUUAAUUAAUUAUAGCAGAUAUGAUGAAUUUCAUAAGAAAACAUGUAUCUUUCAUGCUCUAAUGUUUUGUAGAUAGAUUUGUGAAAGAAGAGUAGGGGAAUUAAAGGUGUGGUUUUAGUUUGCUGUCAAGUCGGGUGUGUUCUGUGCGCACCACGUGAAGUGGCACAAACUAUAACUUUUUUCCUAUCCACUCACUUUCUUCUUGCAAUGUUAUCGUUCUAAAGAGAUCAUAACUUUUUGCUCAAAAGAAACGAUUAAGAAAAAGGAUGGCCCUUGUCUACAAUAAAUUGCUCAUGUUGGGUCCUUUGUCUCACACAUUAUCUUUACUACUCAAACCACUCUCCCUCUCCCAACCUCUCUCAUAAUUCAACCCUCUCAUGCUUAUAACAAGGUAUUAUUGUCUAUGUGCUGUCAUUCUCAUACUGUACCACUCUUUUCUUCGGCAACCCAAUUCCACUGUGCCACCACUCUCACACAAACUAACACACACAUAUAAGCUGCUGCUGCUGCUUCUGCUGCAUCAUAUCCGUAGCCUUGUCCCUCUCACUCAUCAGACUCACCCCUAGGUGAAAAUAAAUAACUGUAGUACUAGCUGCUAGUAAGUAUCUUGAUUAGUAAUACUCACAUGCUUAUGUUAUGUUAUGUCUUCCUUUACUUUCAGGGUAACAGCCAAAACCAAAAAGAAAAUGAGAGUGUUCUUUCUUUUUCAUUAGGGAUAUAGAGGCAGCAAAGAUGUCGUUCUCAGGCAUUCAAACUCCCAACCAAUAACCAGUUCCAUCUUGAAGGGUAGGGUUACUUUGGUGCAGUCUCCAGCUAAAUAUUAAUUCCAGAUAUGUAUUCCUCAAAUACCUCCUUCAACGGCAAUGACCUACUCUCGUACCCUAGCCAACCAUUUUGCUUUAGGCCUUUUUCCUUUGAAAGCAACCCAACCAAUUCUUCAAAACACCAAUCCAAUUCCAAUUACGCCCUUCCUCCUCCUCUUCCUCCUCCUUUGUCCUUUCUUCAAUCCUUUGACGAAAAUAUCUUUCUCGAACACCACCAUGACUUUCUCUUACUUCACCCCUCUCUAGCCGACCCCGGACUCUCAAAAAACCUUCACGUUGCUCCCGAAAUCCCCGCAAUUCCCUCCUCUGGACAACCUGCCACUGCCCCUAUGGACCACACUACAAGGAAGAGGUCCACCAAGAGAGAUCGCCACAGCAAAAUCAACACCGCACGAGGCCUCAGAGACCGAAGAAUGAGGCUGUCCCUCGAAGUUGCAAAGAGGUUCUUCGGCUUGCAAGACAUGCUAGGCUUUGACAAGGCCAGCAAAACCGUCGAGUGGCUACUGAACCAAGCAAAAGUCGAAAUCAAACAACUUGCUAGGGAAAAAAACAGUGUUGGUGGUGCCAAGAGUGCAUCAUCAACUUCUGAAUGCGAAGGGGUGUCUAGCUUGGACGAGGUUGUGGUCAGUGGAGUUAACGAGGAGCACGAGAAGGAGACACCCAACAUGAAGAGAAGAACAAGUAAGGUUUGUAGAAAGAGGGAAAAGGCAAGAGAAAGGGCGAGAGAAAGAACAAGAGAGAAGAUGAGGACUCGGAGAGUACUUGCUGCAGAUGCUUCAAACCUUAACCGUUUGAGUUCUUGGAACCCCUUUGAAACGGUUGAAGACUCUGCGGCUACUCAGAGCCAAAGCGUGAACCACCCCUCCUUGGAUGCGCACCUUCCUGAGACCGAAGAACCAAGUUCUCACGCAAAGGAACAUUUGGGAACCGUGGAGGACAUAGCGCGCCAUGAAGACAAUUCUUUGGUGAUCAUGAACAAGUGGAGCCCAACCAUGAUAUUCAAUUCUCUAAACAACUCGGCAAUCCUUCACGAAGUAAGUUCAAACUCAUCGAUCACUCACACAAAAAAAUAGCAUGAUUUAGCUAUAAAGAAGGUUAUAAUUAACAAAGCCCUUGUGGAAUACCAGUUAAGAAAUUAAACGAAUUGAAAGAGUGUUACUGGUAUUACCAAUUCCACCGUGAUUUGAAAUAAGAGUUAUCUGCAUAUCAAACAGUGUGUGUUGGCAAAACCAUUGGUUAUAAACAUAUAUUUCUUAUAUGUCUGUGCAUGCUUGGUUUGACCAUUAGCAUGUUGUUGUUUCAAUGAAAACCAUGCAUUUUCUAUUCAUAAAAAGAGUAUCUGUAAUGUUGCUGAGGUUCCAUUGAUGAAAUUAUUUGCAGCAUCAAUUUGCAGAAUUUCAGUCCUUGGGAAAACCUUGGGAAACCUACAACGAUCACAUCUAGCAUUUGCGCUCAACUUGGAUUGCACCCAUCAUGUGUUUGUGUCAGCAGAAUAAAAUACAAUCAUGCUAUGUAUUUCUUUACUUUCCUUUUGGCAUGUAAUGUGGUAAGGUAUCUUCCCAUCAACUACCAUAUGGGAAAAAUAUUUCGUGAUGUUAUCUCUAUAUAUAAAAUUUUACUUCUUUCUUUUAACCUCCAUCUUUGAGAAAGCUUCUGUCAAUAUCCCAUAAUUCUCUUACUGGUGUUUUAAUUAAGAAAACACUUAAUUUAAUCAUUUCCCUAACUCUGGUUGGAUAUGAUUAAGAAAAGGAUUUAUGCUGCUAUUGCUGUCAUGUCAUUUUUUUAACAUAUAAUAGCAUUGUUGAUGCUACCCUGACAUAUUUGCUGUGGUGGUUUUUCUUUUUGCAAAGUCCAAUCAUCCCUCGGAAAAGUAUUAGGGUUACUUCUCAGAUGUAUGUAAUGUAUGUUUAUAGUUGUUUGUGGAUAACUUCCUAAGUGUAUUCCAAUUUGUGAAUUCAUCUUAUAGCUUUAUAGACGUGACUGAAUUGACACUUGGGUGAUGAUCCACUAUGUAUCCACUUUCAGAACAAGUUUCCAUUAACUUAUCCAUUUCGAUUUUCAUUAUGAUUAUUUAGCUUGAUCAUAUCAUAUAAUUUAGGACACAGACAAUGACCAAACUAAUAACAUGUCUUUAAGAAUGUUGUUUCACCCAAAUGAUAUAAAACAAUCUUGAAAGAUCAAGGCUUUGGCAUUUGACAUAUAUAGAUAGUAAAAUUACAAGGGAUGGUGGUAGAAAACAAUUAUAAUACACGAAAUUUAUAAACAAAAAUGGAUAGAAUGUAUUGUAUAUAUUCAUAUUUUUAUAGAGUUUUCAUGAAGUAAUACAAGUUAUACACAAAAAAUUAAAGUAAAUUUUAUUCAUCUCAAUUUUGGCUUUUCAUAUACAGAAUUCAAUGUGUUUGUUUAAGGGAUUCAACUAUAUAUGCACUUUACUUGUCUUUAGUUAGUAAAUUCUAAGGUGGCUCAUAUUAUGAAUUAAAAGCAACUAGUUGACUUUAAUGGCAUUUGCUGUGUAGCCAAAAGCAUGGGAAUUCAAAUGUUGACUAUCAUAUAAAAUACUGUGAAAAGUUAUCAAUAUGGUUUAUUGCAUAAACUAUUCGCAUAUAUAUAUAUAUAUAUAUAUAUAUAUAUAUAUAUAUAUAUANNNNNNNNNNNNNNNNNNNNAUAUAUAUAUAUAUAUAUAUAUAUAUAUAUAUAUAUAUAUAUAUAUAUAUAUAUAUAUAUAUAUAAAAAUAAAAGUUUCACAUCAAUUAGAGAUAAGACCAAAUUAUAAUAUAUAAAUAAGAUGAAAAUCUCACCUUACACGUCGGUUUUAUAAGAUUGAAUUAGACUUAAGUCAGUUUUAUGAGAUUGAAUUAGACUUAAAUAUCAAGCUAUAUAGUACACAAAUUUUACGCAAACGUUUUACAAAGAACAAAUUAUAAGCAUAGUUUUAAAGAUAAUUAUUAAUAAAAAUCAAUUUUAGUACAUGUCAUUCAUAACCAUUUCUAAUCCAAUAAAAUCUUUUUACAUGGUAAGUUUAGACGUACUUUAUCUAAAAUAAAACAAUAUAAAAGCAUUAGUUUAAAUGAUAUAACUGGUCACGUUGACAAGAUGAAGAAAUGCACAGAGAAAUUUCAUUCCUUUAAACUUAAAAAGGCGAAUAGUAAAGUGAGUUAUUCAUAAUAAAUAUAACUAUGAAUUGAAAAGUUUGGCUCAGUAAAAGGGUAGGAUUUAUAUUUUUAUGUUCAUCAAUAUUAGCUAACUAUGUACAUAAACAAUUUGGACUAAAAUUUUUUAUUUCUAAUAAAAAACUUAAUAGAUAAAUAUAACUAUAGAUUAUUUUUUCUAUAUAGUGAUUGUCGAGAAAAGAGAAAUAUAAAUACCAUAUUGGACACAUCAUAGUUUGGAAUACCUAUGAUAUUUAUUGUUUAUAGUUUAUAACAUGAAUAAUUUAAAAAUUAUAUAAAAUAAGUAGAUAAAAAUAAUUUAUAAGAUAAUUUUCAAAUAUAACUUUAAUGUAUAAAAAAAAAAUACAAUUUCUCGCAAAAGCAGUGAUAUAUCACACGAUAAAUAUAAACUACGAGUAGAGUAAAAUCGAGAGACGUGUUAAUUAUGCUCCCCUUUUAGCUUGAUUUCAAAGCAUUUGGAAUAUUGGAGAAAACGAAUUUGUAAAGUUUGGAGAUACAAGGAUAAAGAUAGACAAGAAAAGAAGAAAUAAUUAAAAAUUAAAAGCGACAGAAAGAAAGAAAGAAACUUAUAGAAUACAAAAUAUUUAAAGAAUAUAUUACAUAAAGUAGAUGAUAUAACUUUUUGGAAUUUUGAUGCUUAGUCAUUUCAUGAAUUUCACAAUAUAAAACACAUAACAAUAGUAUAAGCACCAGAAUAUGUUGGUCCAAAUAUCAUACUGUUAUAUUUAUGUCCGUAAGUGUUUAAUUAAGAGGUUGCAAAAUAAAAUACAACCAUGUCGGAAAUUUUAUCUUAGAAUUUAAAUUUUAAAAUUUUCAGGUUAUACAAAUAAUAUAAAAUUUAGAAUGUUAUAUGAGAAGUAUAAAUCUGAUAUAUUCCAUUUCUUGCGGUCAAAAGUUGACAGUCAACAAAGGAAAAAAAAGAAAGAAAAGAAGAAGCCAUCCAAGACAGAGAAGAAGCCAAACAGUUACUGUUUUUUGGUUCAGAAUAUCAGCACAGUGUCACUUCAACUUAUCCAUCUUGCUUCUUUAUUUUUUAUUUUUUAUUUAGAAAUGGAGAUCAGGUUUAUUUAUAGAUUAUUUAUCACUAAAAUAUUCACACAGUGAUAGCAGUUAAAUUUACAUAUAAGUCAGAAAAUUGUUUUCUGUAAGCUUUGAUUCCUUCUAAAAGGAGGAGAAGGAAUCUAAAAAGUUUCAAUUAUUAGUACUGUUCCUAACGGAAAUUUUGCUGUAUACAGUCUUCCAAUUAAUUAGCCUAAUUUAAUCCCUGAUCACCUAAAUUUUUCAUUUUUUAACUAACAAAAUAGCUUUUUUGUAAAUAUAAAAUUAGAGAUAUAAUAUAAUUUUUAAAUAAUAGUAUACGUGAUUUAUGACUAAAUAAUUCUAACAGAAUAAUAAACUGUUUUAUUUUUAUUCGGUGGAAAAUCUACCUUUAUUCAAAUUUCAUUUCAAAAUUAUCAUUCCAUUAACUGAGGUUAUAAUAUUGUAUUUUGAGUUACAAUUUUUUGAAAAGUUCUAACACACAUUUGAUUAAAAUAUAAAGAAAAAAUUGUAUAAAGUUUUGACUAAAUCUUGUCCCUAACCACCCAACAUCAAAGCAAUCACAACAAAAAGACCAAACAGAAGAAAAUACACUUUUUAAACGAGUAGUGUUUUUUCUUCUCCAUAAAAGAUGUAACCUAGGCAUGCGCAAACAAACAAAACAGUAUUGUUUCUCAAUAUUAAUUAAUUAUAUAUAUAUAUAUAUAUAUAUAUAUAUAUAUAUAUAAAAUUUAUAUUUAUAUGCUGAGUUUACUGGAGUUUUAGCCUUUGAAAUACUCGAAACAUUUAAAACGGAUAAUUUAUCUCUUACAAAAAAAUCUAAAAAAUAAUCAUUUUUAUUUGAUAAGAUUUUGUUUCAAAUCUUCAGAUGGGAAAAAAAAACAAGUAUUUUUUUUUCACUUGAGUAUAAUAAAUUAGGCCAAACAAAAAAAUAUUACAAAUUCAAUUCUCUCUUCUCCCUGUUAUCACCUUUGAACAUGGUACAGCAGAGGGACAAACUUAUCAGAAGACAGAAUUCCCAACCUCCUAAUCUAUUUUCUGUGAUAAUUUUCUUAGAAUUUUCUGUCCAUGGCUCCCAUGAAAAUCAAUCCAGAGCUUAAUAAUCAUGAAUAACAUGAGAGCAUUUUUUGCUUUAUUAUGAUUUAAAAGAAGAAAAGCAAGAAAAGAUUCAGUGGAGCAAGAGAAAGGAAGCCUGCGGAAAGCCCUAGAGACUAUAGAACAGAUUAACAUACUGCAGCUCUUCCACAAAUGGUAAACCAGCAACUUUCUUGCCAGAUCCAUACACCCAUUUGUUUCAGCUACAUCAGUGAAAGUGAUCCAUCAUUUUUUAGCAGAAAAAAUAGUACAAAAAUCUCACAGAAAUCACUGAAACUUUUAAAAUUUUGUCCUCUUUUCUACUAUGGUUUCCAAGUCCAUAUGCCUCCUAGAAACCCUUUUCUGGGAUUUCAUUUCUCACCCCUUUAAAAAGGUUUCUUUUAUCUGCAAGGCACAAAGGGGGAGGAACUCAGAAGAGAGAAAGAAGAUAAGUUAAGGAAGAGGAAUAUACCCAGAUAGAUCCAAACAUGAGGUAUAACAGCAAUAGCAAAUAGCAAAUCCCUAAAGUUUGCAGAUAUGGUUGUUAGGCAGAAGAGAGUGAUGGGAAUGGUGAUGAGAAACCCUAGGUAGGUAGGGAAAUUGAACAGUGAGUGCAAGACAUUGAGGCCUGAGAAACCCUAAUGGGUAUGGAAAAUGGAAGAUAAUGGAGUGGUUUGGAAUGAUUGCCCAAAGGGAAAACACCAAAGAAGGACUCAAAUAGCAACAGGAAGUGCGUCCUUGUAUGACAGAAAAUGACAUUUUCUUUUAGGCUUAAAGGUUAUUAUUAGGGCAACAAAAUAAUUGCAACAAGUCCCAGACAAGUGUGUCUUUAUUUUCUGCAACUUAUCUAACUCUCACUCUCUUUCUGUCAUCUUUUGAUUUGUGCACUUCUUAAGAUACCCAUACCUUCAAAUCAAGGGAAACACCGUAAAGGGUAGUGAAAGUCACAUGCUUCGAAUAUAUACUCUAGAUACUUCCUCUACUCUCUACUCUCAUUUUUAACUCUCAAAUUUUCAUUGAAAAUUCUACGUCUAUUAGAUGAUCAAUUCAGUGUAUACAAGUGAAUACAAAUCUUAUAUUAUAAAUCAAUUUUGUGGAAUUGAGUUAAGCUUAAAAUUCAUAUGAGAAUUUGUAUUCUGCAUCAUCAUCUCUCAUGCCUAUAUUACUAGUCAUAAUUAAAGUGAAACAAAUGCAAAGUAAUGCACUGUGAUUCCAUUGCUGCACACACUGAAUAGACAUUCCAUUGAGAGAGAUCCCUUCAUUUUCUCACUAAAGUAAUUCAAACCCUACUCAUUUCUUUCUUCCAUUUAGCUUAUGUUAAAAACAAAUAACUUUAACUCUAUAGUACAUAUCCAUUCAUUUCUUAUUUUCACUCAUCCAACAAUUUCUUUUACCAGCCAUGUGAAACCUGUCGUCUCACUAAAUUUUAAGCACACACAUUCUGCAACUUCUUUUUUCAACUGCAUUCCUUUCAAUUAUUGAUAUACUUUUCUACCUCCACAAUAUUAAUAUAUAUGUAUCGAAUAAUUCAAAAACUUCACUUUUCAAAUUACAAGUUCGACUUUAUACUAUAAGAGAAAGUCUUCAUUGAAAUGAUAAUAUAUUCAAAUCCCAUCAGAACACGUAGAGUUCAAGUAUUUUAGAGAAAUAUGAGAUUAAAAGAAAAUAUUCAAUUAAAAAUAAUCAGCUAGAAAUUUAUGGAAGAAAAAAAUCCGUGAAUAAAAAUAAUAUUUAUAUACAAGUUUAAAUUAGGGAUUUGUUUAUCUCUGUAUCUAUUGCUAUAAAAGAAAAAAUAAUAUUUAUCCAUAAACAAAUUUAUUAAAAUUAUUUUAAUUGAUAUGUCUACUUGUUUUAACUUAUAAAAAAUUUGAAUCUAACAAAUAACGGGAAAACACACACAAAAAAUUAAAUAAAUGUUCAUUUAGAAGACAUAAAAUAAUUUUCCAAAUAUCUGUAUUGAUAUUGAAAUGUAUAUGUAUUUUUCUUUUAACAAAAGUGAUAAAUAAGAUGUGGCUUAAUUUUUACAAUUGAUGGGUUUGUACGAUCUUUUCUUUUUUUACUCUGCAACAACAUCAAAUGGUGAUGAUUUGUACGAAAGUGGAUUAUAUAAUCGUGCUCCUCUAAAUUACAUAAUUUAAAAAUAAAUGCUCAAAUUGUUAUUUGUUUCUUAUGGCUGUUGGUCAAAACCGUACAACUUCUGCUUUCCGUCAAUUUUCUUCUUACGUUUUUUUUCUCUAAUAUCAUUACAUGAUUUCUGAAUAAGCAAUAUACAUUUAUAAAUGUUGUUUUUAGAAAAUAGCUACCAUCACACCAGUUUUUGUGGAAUUCAUGCAUCUUAUUAUCAUUCGUAAAAAUCAACCAUAUACUGAUAAUUAUUAUAUGCAUCAAAUAAAUUUAUAUUACAAAAGGGAUUAAAUUACAUUACAUAAAGUAAAACCUGCUUAGUAUGAGGGAAUAGGAAAUACGAAAGACAUUCUUUCAAUAUUUUUACAAAAUAUAAUUAAGUCAAAAUCAUAUACUGUGUAAACCUCUGAAAUAUUAUAAUUUUUUUUAAAAAAAUGAAAAAUUCAUUAAGUAACUGAGAACUAAUGGCAGAAAUUGCACCAGACAGGUAAAGGGUUAUCUUAUCGCCACCUUUGACUACCUUUUUUUCCGACUAGCCCCUAUAAAUUCAUAAACCACACUAACAUACCUUUGUUUUCCCUUUGGUAAAGAUGAAAAAAGUGGAUUUAGUUUCAUAAUAAAGUAUUUACAUAGAUUUAUUUAUCUUUUACCCUUCAUAAAUUAUAAACUAUACAUUGAUUUUACGUAUCAGAUAUACUGUUUUUUUAUGUUAAACUUAUUUCUGUCCAAACAACCAGAUAAAACUAGAAGUUCUAAAAAUAGGAUUCCAUUCUUUAUGUCUAUGUCAGUCAGUAGUCAUCAAAAUAUAUAUAUAUAUAUAUAUAUAUAUAUAUAUAUAUAUAUAUAUAUAUAUAUGUGUGUGUGUGUAUGUAUAUAGAUAUUGACGAGCAGAUGAGAUUAUCGAAAUAAAACUGAUAUUUCUCAUUGUAAAAUAGGAUUUAUCAUGACACGAAUCAAAGAAUCAAAACAUAUACUGGUGUUAUUUGACCUCUUUUUUAUAAUAAAAGAUGACAAGUUCUAACACCCCAAAACCAAAAAAGGAGAAAAAGUAAAGUUUCUACAAAGUAAAGAAAAUGAAUACAAAACAUUCAAGUUCAAACUUAUAAUAAAACCUCAAGAGCAGAAAAAGAAAAAGGAAAUGGAAACACGAAAACAAAUAAAACUGCUGAGAGUGCAGGUGCAACUCACCUUGAAAAAUUGAAGAUCUGAUAUGUGGCUUUUUGUUUUCAACAGCAGAAUGUAAACAGUUUUGCAGUCUGGAAAAAGCAAUUCAGAUUGUGAUGAAGAUCAUCAUUCAACAUACAUAAAUCUCUUCCCUUAUUGAUGAAAAAAUAGAUUUUGAAAGGUAACAAACCCGAGAGUCCAGGGAGCCAUAUGGAAAAUUUUAUCUCUGACCAGCAGAAAGAUAAAAUGGUGGAUCGUAUCAGUUGUAGAUAUAUACAUAUACAAACAAGGAAUUUGAAAGCAUUUAGCAUUGAAUGUCUACAGAUUCAGAUAGUGAAGGAAGGGACGAAAUUCAAAAAAGAAUGAAACAAAUCUGUCAGAAGAAAGAUUUCAUUUAUAGGCAUGAUGAUGAAAGGUGAUACUUGUUCGAUUUUGUUACGUUGGUAACUAAUUACUAUCUCUAUAAUAAAUAAUAAGCAAUAGGGUUUAUAAGUAGGAGGUUGGCUAUUAGUGUAUCAGAGG